UACGUAUGGUGCAAGCGUUAUCCGGAUUUACUGGGUGUAAAGGGAGCGCAGGCGGCACGGCAAGCCUGAUGUGAAAGCCCGCGGCCCAACCGCGGAACUGCAUUGGGAACUACCGGGCUGGAGUGCCGGAGAGGUAGGCGGAAUUCCUAGUGUAGCGGUGAAAUGCGUAGAUAUUAGGAGGAACACCAGUGGCGAAGGCGGCCUACUGGACGGUGACUGACGCUGAGGCUCGAAAGCGUGGGGAGCAAACAGG
This 253-nucleotide ribosomal RNA is filed under the name uncultured bacterium. RNAcentral describes it as "partial 16S ribosomal RNA". It matches the Rfam family "Bacterial small subunit ribosomal RNA", at positions 524 to 776 of the family's 1533-position model. The record is from RNAcentral.